Molecule: ribosomal RNA, 370 nt
Filed under: uncultured organism
Description: partial 16S ribosomal RNA
Rfam family: Bacterial small subunit ribosomal RNA
Source: RNAcentral
GUAGGGGGCAAGCGUUGUCCGGAAUUAUUGGGCGUAAAGCGCGCGCAGGCGGCUAUUUAAGUCUGGUGUUUAAACCUUGGGCUCAACCUGAGGUCGCACUGGAAACUGGGUGGCUUGAGUACAGAAGAGGAAAGUGGAAUUCCACGUGUAGCGGUGAAAUGCGUAGAGAUGUGGAGGAACACCAGUGGCGAAGGCGACUUUCUGGGCUGUAACUGACGCUGAGGCGCGAAAGCGUGGGGAGCAAACAGGAUUAGAUACCCUGGUAGUCCACGCCGUAAACGAUGAGUGCUAGGUGUUAGGGGUUUCGAUACCCUUGGUGCCGAAGUUAACACAGUAAGCACUCCGCCUGGGGAGUACGGUCGCAAGACUG